AGAGUACACGUUUCCUAAAGAGGAGCAACUAAGUAACCACAGACAGGGCAAAAUCAUUUCGUGAAGCCACCAGGGAAUACAGAAACAAACUGGGUCCAUUUUGUUUCACAUGGUUUUGCAUGGGACCUGAACCAAGGCCCAUGUCUUUGCAGAAUUGUUUUCCGGGAUGCAAAUGGAUUCAGAUAUCACUCCUUGAACUAGAAGCCGUUACUAUAAUAUUUUGAAAGCUGGCAAAUUUUUUUCAAAGCUAGAAGAGCAGUUUUGCAUGGGGGGUUGCUGAGGUAGGCACAAGAAGAAAUCGGACAUAAAGCACAAGGAAAACUGUUUGAGUGGAUUGGUUGCUGCUCACUAAAGUUCUUCCCCGAUCUCCAAAUAUGGAGGUCAUUACCGAGAAAUGGCUUAGAUGUGAAUGAGAGCCAGAUCCCUGUGGCUCCACCGCGUGAGCCAGUGAAUUGUGGCUAAUUCGGCUGUUUCGGCCACUGGUUGGCUGGAUUUUAAACCAUAAAACUUGAAGAUAGCUACAAAAGGAACAGUUUGGCUACAAGCCUGAGCUUUAAUGGAACAUACGUCCUCACAGAAAAGUUGGAAGUAACCAAAACUGAAGUUUUCAUCUACCUUCAGUUUAGUCUGUGGAUUUGUUCAAAUACUAAAGAUCCUCAGGUCCAGAAUUCCAGCAUCAUUUAUUCUUUUAAAAUAAAUUUUUAAGAACUUGAUCCGUUGUAUCAGUACCUCACAAUCAAAGUUGGCAAAUGAUGGAUGAGUGAUUCAAGCAGCGUGCCCUUUGGAAGCUGAAAUCCAUCUGGAUGGAGCCGAAGUGAACGUGAAUAUGCUGACUAUAUCCUGGAAGCAUUUUUAUACCAUCUUGCGAUUUCAACAAACUGGCUUUUGCCAGUUUAUCCAGCUGUCUUUCAAGAAUAAAAGUUGGGGUUUUCAAGGAUCGCCUCUUCUAUAUUUUAAAUGGAUUUUCAGUAUGAUUUUUACUAAUCAAGUUAAUCCCACCCCAUCCAAAGGAGGCGGGUCCUGGCCUCUUCUCCCUGCAGGAAGAUGACUGGAGGAGGUGGAUUAAUUGUAGCAUUCACUGAUCCUCAUGCCAGUCACUGGGGACGAUAGAACGCUGCCAAGCACAGACACUACACUUGUGGCUUGUGGUUGGUUCGUUGAGCAAGGUGAUGUGGACAGGCUGUCUCUCAGAACGCAUUCCUGACUAUUGCUACUAAAGGAAGGGAUUCCCCUCCGCAAACGGCAUGGUACAGACUAUGGGAAACCAAUUUUUUUGGUUUUGUCUUUCCCCCUCUACUGUGAACAGUGAUUUAGGGCUGUUUUUCAACCUUGGCAAACAUCCCAGCUAAUCACGUGUUCAAAACAGUCAUGUUCCUAAGAAGGAGGGAACUAAAAUUCCCUCUUCGGGUCGUUGGUGGAAUGUUUGUUUCUCAAACUACUGCAGUCACAGGAGAAAACAAAUUUUAGGAACGGAAUCAAAAGAGCGAAACCUGGAGUUCCCUUGUGGCUCAGCAGGUUGAGGAUCUGGCGUUGCCGCUGCUGAGACUCAGGUCCAAUCCCUGGCCCAGGAACUUCCCCAUGCCACAGGCACAGCUUAAAAAAAAAAAAAAAAAAGGCAAAAAUCUGUGACAAGAUCUUCCUUUCUGGUUUCUAUUGUCCCUACCUAUCAUUCAAGUCGAAUGGCAGUUCUAGUCAGCAGAGAAAGUUUUCUGUGCGAAUGCUGCGCAAUACAAGAUGCAAAUCUGUAUGGCACCAAAAAUCAAAGUGAAAACCAAACCAAAAACCCAGACACCCUAUGUUACUGUGGGAGGCAUGUAGGUGGUUUAAAUGACUGUAGUUGUGAUACACACAUGGCUACACGUCGCUUCACUUUCCAUAAUUAUUUACUGCAAAGUGAUUGAGGAGCUUUGGUGCAGAGGCGGCCGAGACCUGCUGCUGCUUCCUUUGUUGCCUCUCAGUCACUUUGCAAUAAAUUGCAGGUCUUUUAAGAGAUUCAAGCUUCAGUUUUCUCAAAACAAAACAAUUAUCCUGGCUUAUCUGACAAUGCAGGGUUGUGGGCAGAAGAGGCUGGUUAUACUAAUGCCCUCAUAUUGAGUGGUCUGUAAAUGGCUGCACACUUCAGGCGCUACAUAGUGGCUGAGAAUGCUUUGUUAAAUGUAACCUUGACUGGCUGUACAGGGGGUAGAGUGUGCUCUACACAAGGUGUUAAAAGCUAACUAUUGGUCUGUGUCUACCUUGCUCUUGAGGUAGAUGAAAUUGAGAAGC
This 2265-nucleotide long non-coding RNA is filed under the name Sus scrofa (pig). RNAcentral's name for it is "lncRNA (ENSSSCG00030033146.1)". Lineage: Eukaryota; Metazoa; Chordata; Mammalia; Artiodactyla; Suidae. The record is from RNAcentral.